Molecule: ribosomal RNA, 277 nt
Filed under: uncultured soil bacterium
Lineage: Bacteria
Description: partial 16S ribosomal RNA
Rfam family: Bacterial small subunit ribosomal RNA
Source: RNAcentral
AGAACGAACGCUGGCGGCGUGGAUAAGACAUGCAAGUCGAACGGAACAGCUUGUAGCAAUACCGGCUGUUCAGUGGCGAACGGGUGCGUAACACGUGGGCAACAUGCCUGAAAGCGCGGGAUAGCCCGGGGAAACCCGGAUUAAUACCGCAUGUGACGCCGGAGGGAUUCCCGUCCAUCGUCAAAGGUGGGACCGCAAGGCCUGCCGCUUUCAGAUUGGCCCGCGCCCUAUCAGCUUGUUGGUGAGGUAACGGCUCACCAAGGCCUGGCGACGGGUA